Molecule: ribosomal RNA, 414 nt
Filed under: uncultured microorganism
Description: bacterial SSU rRNA
Rfam family: Archaeal small subunit ribosomal RNA
Source: RNAcentral
CAGCAGCCGCGGUAAUACCGGCGGCCCGAGUGGCGGUCACUAUUAUUGGGCUUAAAGCGUCCGUAGCCGGGUUGGGAAGUCCUCCGGGAAAUCUGGCCGCUUAACGGUCAGAAUGCCGGAGGAUACUCCCAGCCUAGGGGGCGGGAGAGGCCGAGGGUAUUCCCGGAGUAGGGGUGAAAUCCUAUAAUCCCGGGAGGACCACCUGUGGCGAAGGCGCUCGGCUGGAACGCGUCCGACGGUGAGGGACGAAGGCCAGGGGAGCAAACCGGAUUAGAUACCCGGGUAGUCCUGGCUGUAAACGAUGCGGACUUUGUGUCGGACAAGCUAUGAGCUUGUCCGGUGCCGGAGGGAAACCGUUAAGUCCGCCGCCUGGGGAGUACGGCCGCAAGGCUGAAACUUAAAGGAAUUGGCGGG